AGUGAACGCUGGCGGCAGGCCUAAUACAUGCAAGUCGAACGGCAGCACAGCAGAGCUUGCUCUGUGGGUGGCGAGUGGCGGACGGGUGAGGAAUACGUGGGAAUCUGCCCAGUCGUGGGGGAUAACGUAGGGAAACUUACGCUAAUACCGCAUGCGCCUUCGGGGAAAGCCGGGGACCGUUCGGCCUGGCGCGAUUGGAUGAGCCACGUCGGAUUAACUAGUUGGCGGGGUAAAGGCCCACCAAGGCGACGAUCCGUAGCUGGUCUGAGAGGAUGAUCAGCACACUGGAACUGAGACACGGUCCAGACU
This 309-nucleotide ribosomal RNA is filed under the name uncultured bacterium. RNAcentral describes it as "bacterial SSU rRNA". It matches the Rfam family "Bacterial small subunit ribosomal RNA", at positions 29 to 337 of the family's 1533-position model. The record is from RNAcentral.